GACGAACGCUGGCGGCGUGCCUAAUACAUGCAAGUAGAACGCUGAAGAGAGGAGCUUGCUCUUCUUGGAUGAGUUGCGAACGGGUGAGUAACGCGUAGGUAACCUGCCUUGUAGCGGGGGAUAACUAUUGGAAACGAUAGCUAAUACCGCAUAACAAUGGAUGACACAUGUCAUUUAUUUGAAAGGGGCAAUUGCUCCACUACAAGAUGGACCUGCGUUGUAUUAGCUAGUAGGUGAGGUAAUGGCUCACCUAGGCGACGAUACAUAGCCGACCUGAGAGGGUGAUCGGCCACACUGGGACUGAGACACGGCCCAGACUCCUACGGGAGGCAGCAGUAGGGAAUCUUCGGCAAUAGGGGCAACCCUGACCGAGCAACGCCGCGUGAGUGAAGAAGGUUUUCGGAUCGUAAAGCUCUGUUGUAAGUCAAGAACGGGUGUGAGAGUGGAAAGUUCACACUGUGGCGGUAGCUUACCAGAAAGGGACGGCUAACUACGUG
RNAcentral lists this ribosomal RNA (497 nucleotides) under uncultured bacterium. Its description in RNAcentral is "partial 16S ribosomal RNA". It matches the Rfam family "Bacterial small subunit ribosomal RNA", at positions 28 to 507 of the family's 1533-position model. The record is from RNAcentral.